This is a long non-coding RNA of Ornithorhynchus anatinus (platypus), 531 nucleotides long. RefSeq lists it as uncharacterized. The record is from RefSeq and is a predicted model, not a curated record. The transcript is spliced from 2 exons. NCBI's taxonomy places the organism in Eukaryota, Metazoa, Chordata, Mammalia, Monotremata, Ornithorhynchidae.
CCUGAUUAAGACCCCAGCGCUUAGUCCGGCCCCCGGCUCAGAGCCCCGCUCAGGUUGUCCGGACCGUAGACCCAGCCAGGCCAGGCUGUCUGUUUAAGUCGUGCUAAGGGGGAAGCAGGCAAGCUGCGGAGAGGACAGCGCGGUCCGGUACCAACGCCUAGGCCCGAAAGACCGGCAUCCCCAUGAGCCCGGACGGACAGGCAGGCCGAGGUCAGCCAGGCCGAAGAAUCUCGCGGCUCUGUGUCGGUCCGGGCACAGAGAUCAGUCUACCUCAUUAGAGGAUCCUGCACCCCUCCCCCUCCUCUGCUCGCCGACAAAUAUUUACUAAUUACAUGGGCUGCUGAGCACAGCACAGGCCUUUUCUUCUCCUCCACUCUCUGGCGGCUGGGCCCGAGGGUAGUCGGGCCUUUUGUGAUAGAAAUCACACCCUUCAGGUAGAACAGGGGCUUCUCAGCAGAGCUGCUAUUGUAGCAAAACCAUUGAGCCUUUAAUUUGGCUCUGCCGAUAAUAUACACGGUCUGUAUAAGUAAA